AGACCCGAAACCCGGUGAUCUAGCCAUGGGCAGGUUGAAGGUUGGGUAACACUAACUGGAGGACCGAACCGACUAAUGUUGAAAAAUUAGCGGAUGACCUGUGGCUGGGGGUGAAAGGCCAAUCAAACCGGGAGAUAGCUGGUUCUCCCCGAAAGCUAUUUAGGUAGCGCCUCGUGAAUUCAUCUCCGGGGGUAGAGCACUGUUUCGGCUAGGGGGCCAUCCCGGCUUACCAACCCGAUGCAAACUGCGAAUACCGGAGAAUGUUAUCACGGGAGACACACGGCGGGUGCUAACGUCCGUCGUGAAGAGGGAAACAACCCAGACCGCCAGCUAAGGUCCCAAAGUCAUGGUUAAGUGGGAAACGAUGUGGGAAGGCCCAGACAGCCAGGAUGUUGGCUUAGAAGCAGCCAUCAUUUAAAGAAAGCGUAAUAGCUCACUGGUCGAGUCGGCCUGCGCGGAAGAUGUAACGGGGCUAAACCAUGCACCGAAGCUGCGGCAGCGACGCUUAUGCGUUGUUGGGUAGGGGAGCGUUCUGUAAGCCUGUGAAGGUGGCCUGUGAGGGUUGCUGGAGGUAUCAGAAGUGCGAAUGCUGACAUAAGUAACGAUAAAGCGGGUGAAAAGCCCGCUCGCCGGAAGACCAAGGGUUCCUGUCCAACGUUAAUCGGGGCAGGGUGAGUCGACCCCUAAGGCGAGGCCGAAAGGCGUAGUCGAUGGGAAACAGGUUAAUAUUCCUGUACUUGGUGUUACUGCGAAGGGGGGACGGAGAAGGCUAUGUUGGCCGGGCGACGGUUGUCCCGGUUUAAGCGUGUAGGUGUGUGUUCCAGGUAAAUCCGGUUCACUUUAACACUGAGGCGUGA
Molecule: ribosomal RNA, 857 nt
Filed under: Salmonella enterica
Lineage: Bacteria; Pseudomonadati; Pseudomonadota; Gammaproteobacteria; Enterobacterales; Enterobacteriaceae
Also listed under: 2 other names
Description: partial 23S ribosomal RNA
Rfam family: Bacterial large subunit ribosomal RNA
Source: RNAcentral